This 2508-nucleotide small RNA is filed under the name Oryza sativa Japonica Group (Japanese rice). RNAcentral describes it as "sRNA Os02g0810425". The record is from RNAcentral. Lineage: Eukaryota; Viridiplantae; Streptophyta; Magnoliopsida; Poales; Poaceae.
UUUGCACAGGGGAGAUCCUUUUUAUCAACUUCUGUUGAAUAAGCAAAUCCAGAGUUGAAUAAGAAGGGGGGGAUACACGAAUACUUGUCUCUCAGGAAAAGUUGCCAAGUCCAGGGGGGGUAAGGUAAAGAAACAUAAAUAUGUUGAAUCUUGACCACCUCUAAAUUAAUCAUCACAAAGCUAGGACUUGGCCCUAACGCAACAGCGAACACACACAACAAAAACAAAUUAUUGCUAUCUAUGAAGCAAUGAUACAACAGGGCCGGAGCACCAUGAAAUUAUGGGAUGCUCCUGGUGAACUGUUGACAAAUAGGUGAUAAUCCUGUCAUUUACAGAGUCGCAAACAGCGUUUCUUCCUUUCUCUUUCCGUUGUGGAGAUUCCUCUUUCUCUUGCCAUAUUAUUUCCUCUUACCGCCACCAAGGGACAGCAGCUCCAGGCUGCGGUGGAGAGGCUCGUCGCGGGACCCUCUUGCAACGGCUGCUCGUGAGAGAGAAGUGGCCCUUGUCUCUCCAACCGAUGGAUUAACCCUCUGCGUGCUGGAAGGACGGCUUCCACUGCUUGAGAACAACCUGCUUGUCCGGCUGUAUUGCUGCUCCAUUGGUUCCACCGAUGAACCUGGCCUGCUGCUUGACGCAACCGCUCUCCUUGAUGCACUGCCUGUACGGGAGGAUGUACGGGGUCUUUCCACGGUCCUUUCGCCGGACCGGUCGGUGCUAUGCAUCUGAGAAGGUGAACCAUUUCAUGAUCUGACAUUGACGGCCGUUGUGCAUAAUUGUCACUCUGAUUCAAAGAACCAGUAGGAUUCCUUCUGCCAGAUGCUUCACCUGGGGCCUUUUCCAUCUUCUCCAUAGAAGGUCCCGCAGCUCCACUGGUUCUUUCACUUGGCUGAAUCAACAAGAAGAACAAACCUAUCUGGGGAUAUUUCAAAAUGGUCCAGUCAAAUACAUAAUCAAAUUGAUAUCCUUCCCGGAUAAAGAGAUCACGGAAUAGCCUCUUUAAGUAAGAAUAAUCUGGCUUGUCUUCAAACCUCAAUGAACGGCAGUAGUGGAAGUAAGAAAUGAAUUCUGAUGGGUAAGAUUUGCAAAGUACCUCCACAGGAGUAAGCAUCUUUUUCUCACUUAUUUUGUCGUACUUCUGCUUCUUAGUGCCUGCUUUCAGCCCCUGCCAUGGUAGGCUGUUGGAAGAAGUACAUAAGGACAUAACCAAGAGAUUCUAGAUCAUCUCUUCUGCUUUGCUCAACACCAAGAUGGGUAUUGACACUUGCAUACCGAGCUGUUCCAGUGAGGUUCUUUUGUACACCAACCUGUAUGGGAUGUGCUUGUGAGUCUGAAGGUCCCUAUAUUUCUUCGCAAGCCCAUAAUCUAUUAUAUAUACCUGAAACAAGGUCAAAAAUAGUCAAAAUUAACUGGAUUCAAGAUUUGCUAACCAAAUCUUGUUUCUUUCUAUCCCACAAGUUAUCUACAAUUAUUAUUAACAGACCACAGUUGUAUUUUAACUAAAUUCACCAGAUAUCAGAGCAUUAAUUUAGGGCCUGUUCACUUUGAUGCCAAAAAAACCUUACCAAAUUUUGGCCAAAAUUUUGGUAACUUGCCAAAAUUUUGGUAGGAUUUCUUAUAUAGUUAUCAAAAUUUGGUAGAAAACUAAAUGUAGCUACUUUUUUGGUAACUUUACCAAAAUUUGGUAAGGUUGAAAAUGGCAUCAAAGUGAACAGGCCCUUAAAACCCAAGCCAUAUCAUUCUACUGGAACAUCUUUUUGGACCUUCAUAGCAAUGAAGAGCACCAAGUUACGAAAAAUUUAAGGCGUUAGGGCACCACUGUAUCAAAUGGAAUACCAUGAAACUAUUGAUGUGGUUAAACAUGCAGAAACACAAAAUGGUAAUAGCCAGGUAGGAACGCAAACCUGAUUGGCUUUCCUACCAAGCCCCAUAAGGAAAUUAUCAGGCUUGAUAUCACGGUGAAGAAAUCCCUUCUGAUGCAUGUACUCAACUCGAUUGAUCUGGAUAACGAACAAAUGGACAGUCUUUAACGAGAAUUUCCUACUGCAAUAGUUGAAUAGGUCCUCAAGGCUUGGCCCAAGAAGAUCGAUCACCAUCACAUUGUACUCUCCCUCCACGCCAAACCACUUCAAGCGCAAACUUACUUCCUCCCUGCAGAAGCAUGUACAGCUUCGACUCAUAAUGAAGCUGUGGGUGCUUCGUCUUAACAUUUUCCUGUGAGACCAAAGCAAACAGGUCAGCAACACCAAUGAAGAGCUCCCCGAAGGAUCCACUCCCGAUCUUCUUUCCAAGCUUGAACUUGCCCCCGACUACAUGAUCCAUCUCCUUGCUGCUCCGAUGGUCUCAACCAAACGAAUCAACUGCCCCCCCCCCCCCUUUCCCCUCUAAUCCCACCCCGAGAUCCAAACCCGUCGAGGCGAGCGGCGCCGCGCCGAGGCGAAUCGAAUCGGGAUUCGGGCACGAGGGCCUCUAGGACGCCAGAUCCAGGCAAACCACCAAGAAAUCCGGUCG